This 22-nucleotide unclassified non-coding RNA is filed under the name Dictyostelium discoideum. The record is from RNAcentral. Lineage: Eukaryota; Evosea; Eumycetozoa; Dictyosteliales; Dictyosteliaceae.
GCAGUUUCCUUCCGGUUAUUGU